RNAcentral lists this ribosomal RNA (253 nucleotides) under uncultured bacterium. RNAcentral's name for it is "partial 16S ribosomal RNA". It matches the Rfam family "Bacterial small subunit ribosomal RNA", at positions 524 to 776 of the family's 1533-position model. The record is from RNAcentral.
UACAGAGGUCCCAAGCGUUGUUCGGAUUCACUGGGCGUAAAGGGUGCGUAGGCGGUCGGGUAAGUCUGAUGUGAAAUCUCACAGCUUAACUGUGAAACUGCAUUGGAUACUAUCCGGCUAGAGGAAUGGAGGGGAGACUGGAAUACUUGGUGUAGCAGUGAAAUGCGUAGAUAUCAAGUGGAACACCAGUGGCGAAGGCGAGUCUCUGGACAUUUCCUGACGCUGAGGCACGAAGGUCAGGGGAGCAAACGGG